AGAGUUUGAUCCUGGCUCAGGAUGAACGCUAGCGGCAGGCCUAAUACAUGCAAGUCGAACGGUGGCAGCAAUGUCAUAGUGGCGCACGGGUGCGUAACACGUAACUAACCUACCUAUAACUGGGGGAUAGCCCGCCGAAAGGCGGAUUAAUACCGCAUAAGCUCUUUGGCUGGCAUCAGCUGAUUAGUAAAGAUUUAUUGGUUAUAGAUGGGGUUGCGGGUCAUUAGCUAGUUGGUUAGGUAACGGCUGACCAAGGCGACGAUGACUAGGGGAGCUGAGAGGCUGGUCCCCCACACGGGCACUGAGAUACGGGCCCGACUCCUACGGGAGGCAGCAGUAGGGAAUAUUGGGCAAUGGGCGAGAGCCUGACCCAGCCAUGCCGCGUGCAGGAAGAAGGCUUUCUGAGUCGUAAACUGCUUUUGACAGGGAAGAAUAAGCACUACGUGUAGUGUGAUGACGGUACCUGCAGAAUAAGCACCGGCUAACUCCGUGCCAGCAGCCGCGGUAAUACGGAGGGUGCGAGCGUUGUCCGGAUUUAUUGGGUUUAAAGGGUGCGUAGGCGGCCUUGUAAGUCCGGGGUGAAAGCCCGUUGCUCAACAACGGAACUGCCCUGGAUACUGCAAGGCUUGAGUACAGACGAGGUUGGCGGAAUGGACCGAGUAGCGGUGAAAUGCAUAGAUACGGUCCAGAACCCCGAUUGCGAAGGCAGCUGACUAGGCUGUUACUGACGCUGAGGCACGACAGCGUGGGGAGCGAACAGGAUUAGAUACCCUGGUAGUCCACGCCGUAAACGAUGGAUACUCGCUGCGAGCUAAAGAUUGUUCGUGGCUUAGGGAAACCGAUAAGUAUCCCACCUGGGGAGUACGCCGGCAACGGUGAAACUCAAAGGAAUUGACGGGGGCCCGCACAAGUGGUGGAGCAUGUGGUUUAAUUCGAUGAUACGCGAGGAACCUUACCUAGGCUAGAAUGCGCGUGACCGGCUCAGAGAUGAGCCUUUCCUUCGGGACACAAAGCAAGGUGCUGCAUGGCCGUCGUCAGCUCGUGCCGUGAGGUGUUGGGUUAAGUCCCGCAACGAGCGCAACCCCUAUGUUUAGUUGCCAGCAUUGAGUUGGGCACUCUAAGGAAACUGCCCCGGUUAACGGGGAGGAAGGUGGGGAUGACGUCAAGUCCUCAUGGCCUUUAUAUCCAGGGCUACACACGUGCUACAAUGGGCGGAACAAAGGGUCGCAA
Molecule: ribosomal RNA, 1230 nt
Filed under: uncultured bacterium
Lineage: Bacteria
Description: bacterial SSU rRNA
Rfam family: Bacterial small subunit ribosomal RNA
Source: RNAcentral